CUACGUGCCAGCAGCCGCGGUAAUACGUAGGGCGCGAGCGUUGUCCGGAAUUAUUGGGCGUAAAGAGCUUGUAGGCGGUUUGUCGCGUCUGCUGUGAAAGGCCGGAGCUUAACUCCGUGUAUUGCAGUGGGUACGGGCAGACUAGAGUGCAGUAGGGGAGACUGGAAUUCCUGGUGUAGCGGUGGAAUGCGCAGAUAUCAGGAGGAACACCGAUGGCGAAGGCAGGUCUCUGGGCUGUAACUGACGCUGAGAAGCGAAAGCAUGGGGAGCGAACAGGAUUAGAUACCCUGGUAGUCCACGCUGUAAACGUUGGGCACUAGGUGUGGGGGCCACCCGUGGUUUCUGCGCCGUAGCUAACGCUUUAAGUGCCCCGCCUGGGGAGUACGGCCGCAAGGCUAAAACUCAAAGGAAUUGACGGGGGCCCGCACAAGCGGCGGAGCAUGCGGAUUAAUUCGAUGCAACGCGAAGAACCUUACCAAGUCUUGAGAUCCC
RNAcentral lists this ribosomal RNA (492 nucleotides) under uncultured bacterium. RNAcentral's name for it is "bacterial SSU rRNA". It matches the Rfam family "Bacterial small subunit ribosomal RNA", at positions 501 to 990 of the family's 1533-position model. The record is from RNAcentral.